Molecule: ribosomal RNA, 253 nt
Filed under: uncultured bacterium
Lineage: Bacteria
Description: partial 16S ribosomal RNA
Rfam family: Bacterial small subunit ribosomal RNA
Source: RNAcentral
UACAGAGGGUGCGAGCGUUAAUCGGAAUUACUGGGCGUAAAGCGUGCGUAGACGGUUAUUUAAGUCGGGUGUGAAAGCCCCGGGCUCAACCUGGGAAUUGCAUUCGAGACUGAAUAGCUAGGGUACGGUAGAGGGAAGUGGAAUUUCUGGUGUAGCGGUGAAAUGCGUAGAUAUCGGAAGGAACAUCAGUGGCGAAAGCGACUUCCUGGCCUGUUCUUGACGCUGAGGCGCGAAAGCUAGGGGAGCAAACGGG